This 938-nucleotide small RNA is filed under the name uncultured fungus. RNAcentral describes it as "eukaryotic LSU rRNA". The stretch from base 628 to 938 matches the Rfam family "Eukaryotic large subunit ribosomal RNA", at positions 1 to 305 of the family's 3401-position model. Lineage: Eukaryota; Fungi. The record is from RNAcentral.
GGAAGGAUCAUUAUUGAAUGAACUUGGUGUGGUUGUUGCUGGCCCUCUUGGGGGCAUGUGCACACCCACCAUCCUCAUCUCUCCACCUGUGCACCUCUUGUAGACCUGGAUUGACUUUCCGAGGCAACUCGGUCGGGAAGAUUGGUGCGCUCUGUGAGCCAGCUUUCUUUGCAUAUCCAGGCCUAUGUUUUUCACUUACCCCUAUAGAAUGUAACAGAAUGUAUCAUUGGGCCUUGUGCCUAUAAACUUUAUACAACUUUCAGCAACGGAUCUCUUGGCUCUCGCAUCGAUGAAGAACGCAGCGAAAUGCGAUAAGUAAUGUGAAUUGCAGAAUUCAGUGAAUCAUCGAAUCUUUGAACGCACCUUGCGCUCCUUGGUAUUCCGAGGAGCAUGCCUGUUUGAGUGUCAUUAAAUUCUCAACCUUAUUAACUUUUGUUGAUAAUGGAUGGAUGUGGGGGUAUCUUUUGCUGGCUUCUUUACAGAGAUCAGCUCCCCUUAAAUGCAUUAGCUGGUGCCCCGCGUGGACCAUCUAUUGGUGUGAUAAUUAUCUACGCCGUGGAUGUCUGCAAUCAUAUGGGUUUUGCACUGCUUCUAACUGUCUGUUCAUUUGGACAAUACAUGACAAUUUGACCUCAAAUCAGGUAGGACUACCCGCUGAACUUAAGCAUAUCAAUAAGCGGAGGAAAAGAAACUAACAAGGAUUCCCCUAGUAACUGCGAGUGAAGCGGGAAAAGCUCAAAUUUAAAAUCUGGCGGUCUCCGGCCGUCCGAGUUGUAAUCUAGAGAAGUGUUAUCCGCGCUGGACCGUGUACAAGUCUCCUGGAAUGGAGCGUCAUAGAGGGUGAGAAUCCCGUCUUUGACACGGACUGCCAGGGCUUUGUGAUGCGCUCUCAAAGAGUCGAGUUGUUUGGGAAUGCAGCUCAAAAUGGGUGGUAAAUU